Molecule: ribosomal RNA, 451 nt
Filed under: uncultured bacterium
Lineage: Bacteria
Description: partial 16S ribosomal RNA
Rfam family: Bacterial small subunit ribosomal RNA
Source: RNAcentral
AACGAACGCUGGCGGCAGGCCUAACACAUGCAAGUCGAACGGGUGUAGCAAUACAUCAGUGGCGCACGGGUGAGUAACGCGUGGGAACGUGCCCUUCACUACGGGACAACGUCGGGAAACUGACGCUAAUACCGUAUAAUGUCUCCGGACCAAAGAUUUAUCGGUGAAGGAUCGGCCCGCGUCUGAUUAGCUAGUUGGUGAGGUAAAAGCUCACCAAGGCGACGAUCAGUAGCUGGUUUGAGAGAAUGAUCAGCCACACUGGGACUGAGACACGGCCCAGACUCCUACGGGAGGCAGCAGUGAGGAAUCUUGGACAAUGGGCGCAAGCCUGAUCCAGCCAUGCCGCGUGAGUGAUGAAGGCCUUAGGGUUGUAAAGCUCUUUUGCCGGGGAUGAUAAUGACCGUACCCGGAGAAUAAGCCACGGCUAAAUUCGUGCCAGCAGCCGCCGCCG